This 448-nucleotide ribosomal RNA is filed under the name uncultured bacterium. RNAcentral's name for it is "bacterial SSU rRNA". It matches the Rfam family "Bacterial small subunit ribosomal RNA", at positions 329 to 793 of the family's 1533-position model. The record is from RNAcentral.
AACCAGACUCCUACGGGAGGCAGCAGUGGGGAAUAUUGCACAAUGGGGGGAACCCUGAUGCAGCGACGCCGCGUGAGUGAAGAAGUAUUUCGGUAUGUAAAGCUCUAUCAGCAGGGAAGAAAAUGACGGUACCUGACUAAGAAGCCCCGGCUAACUACGUGCCAGCAGCCGCGGUAAUACGUAGGGGGCAAGCGUUAUCCGGAUUUACUGGGUGUAAAGGGAGCGUAGACGGCAGAGCAAGUCUGAAGUGAAAGCCCGCGGCCCAACCGCGGAACUGCUUUGGGAACUGUUUUGCUGGAGUAUGGGAGGGGUAAGCGGAAUUCCUGGUGUAGCGGUGAAAUGCGUAGAUAUCAGGAGGAACACCGGUGGCGAAGGCGGCUUACUGGACCAUAACUGACGUUGAGGCUCGAAAGCGUGGGGAGCGAACAGGAUUAGAUACCCUCGUAUG